This 257-nucleotide ribosomal RNA is filed under the name uncultured bacterium. RNAcentral describes it as "partial 16S ribosomal RNA". It matches the Rfam family "Bacterial small subunit ribosomal RNA", at positions 524 to 776 of the family's 1533-position model. The record is from RNAcentral.
UACAGAGGGUGCGAGCGUUAAUCGGAUUUACUGGGCGUAAAGCGUGCGUAGGCGGCUUUUUUAAGUCGGAUGUGAAAUCCCCGAGCUUAACUUGGGAAUUGCAUUCGAUACUGGGAGGCUAGAGUAUGGGAGAGGAUGGUAGAAUUCCAGGUGUAGCGGUGAAAUGCGUAGAGAUCUGGAGGAAUACCGAUGGCGAAAGGCAGCCAAUCUGGCCUAAUACUGACGCUGAGGUACGAAAGCAUGGGGAGCAAAACAGG